GCCCUCCUCACCGCAGACACAUUUCUCUCCGCUUCCCCGUGCCAUCAUUUCCGCAUACCGCAGAUUGACAUACAUCCUCACACCCAUAUACACCCAAACUCUCCCACGGAGCGAUGCAUCCGAAGCGCGCACUCUCCCUUCCCCUCACUAUUUCCGCACUGAUCAAUAUAUAAUUUUCGCCAUAGGUCCGGGUUAUGAUUCGCGUUUGAUCCUUCUGAUAUGCUCACCAAAGUCUCGGUGUCUGUCUGAGAAAGGGAGAGAGAGAGAAACACAGAGAGGGGGAGAGAUGAAAGGACCCGCAUCAUCAGAUGUUUAGCAGAUCCUCUCUCGCUCUUCGCCGUCAUUCCUGCUGUGCGGUUCUUGGUCUUUUUCCUCCCUACCGUCGGCCGAGUUCGUGACAUUGUUGCGGCUCUCGAUGUUGUAAUCCGAGGGAAUAUGUGAAGAUCAUGCUGGCGGUGUGGUGCUUCAUGGUCUUUGCUGCAGUGGGCGAGAGGCUUACGGUAUCAGGUGUGGACAGGAGCCCAGUGCAGGAUGGAGGCAUCUGGGACUGGUUCACCCCAGCAGGGCAGCCGGACAGCGGGGACACUGCCAUCGAGGUCACCUAUCCAAAGCGGCUGGUCCAAAAGAUCGAGUCGGAGGGGGAAAUGGCUCGUGACUACUUGGAUACCAGGGUGAAGAACAGCACUGAGAACACUUUGCCUGUCCACUUGGCCCAGAGCUAUUUUCAAGUGGAAGCGUUUGGACACACCUUCACUCUGGACCUGGAGCUAAACCAUCACCUCCUGUCUUCAGAAUAUGUGGAGCGGCACUUUAACCAUGAUGGCAGACCCUCACAGUCGAUGGGAGGAGAGCACUGCUACUACCAGGGAAGGUUACGAGGUUUACCCGAGUCCUGGGCAGCGCUCUCCACCUGCCACGGCCUGUGCGGCAUGUUCUCUGAUGGCUUCUUCUCUUACGGUAUCGAGCCUGUUCAAAAUGGAAGCAAUCAGGAGGAUGGUGCUCACUUAAUCCGCAGGAUGCCUGAUAUCAGACUUUCCCCUCACUGCACAGACUGUACAGAGGACAGUGAGUGGGAUAGCAGAGGAGGUGAUGGUGAUCACGACAGACCGGACCAAACCACAGAAGAGCAGGUGUCAGGGGGGCUGAGGCGAUCCAAGAGAUCUGUCCGCAAACCCUCUGUCCAGACUGAGACCAAAUAUAUUGAGUUGAUGGUGGUCAACGACAACGAAAUGUUUGUACAGCUGCGUCACUCCAGCAGCCAAACCAAGAACUUUGCCAAAGCAGUGGUCAACAUGGCAGAUGCGAUCUACAAGGAACAGUUGAACACGCGGAUCGUGCUGGUUGCCAUGGAGACCUGGACCUCUAAAAAUAUGAUGCCAGUAUUGGAAGAUCCUUUGAUAACGCUGCAGAACUUCAUGAGAUACAGGAAAGACAACAUCAAAGAUCAGAGUGACCUCGUCCAACUUUUCUCAGGGCGUACAUUUCACAGUAGCCGCAGUGGGACGGCCUACACCGGGGGGGUGUGCUCUCUAACAAGAGGAGGGGGCAUCAACGAGUAUGGGAAUGUAGGGGCGAUGGCCAUCACUUUGUGCCAGAGUCUCGGCCAGAACAUCGGCAUGAGGUGGAACAACAUGCGCAACUCUGCAGGAGACUGCAGGUGUCCAGACGCCUGGCUGGGCUGCAUCAUGGAGGACACGGGAUACUAUCUUCCCAGAAAGUUCUCUCGCUGCAGUGUUGAUGAGUACAGCCAGUUCCUGCUCCAGGGGGGCGGGAGCUGCCUCUUCAACAAGCCAAACAAGCUGUUGGACCCUCCAGAGUGUGGGAAUGGCUUCGUGGAGCCGGGGGAAGAGUGUGAUUGUGGAUCCCAGGUGGAGUGCGCCCGUAGCGGAGGAGCCUGCUGUAAAAAGUGCACACUUACCCAUGAUGCCAUGUGCAGUAACGGACUCUGCUGCAGCGGCUGCAAGUAUGAGCAGAGAGGCGUGGUGUGUCGAGAGGCUGUGAACGACUGUGAUAUCCCAGAGACCUGCACCGGAGACUCCAGCCAGUGUCCUCACAAUGUGCACAAGCUGGAUGGCUACAUAUGUGAUACGAGUCAGGUAAAGGCAGGUUUGUUUUCUAGUCUGCUGCUCACUCUGAGUUAUGAUGUAUUCUUGAUUGUUGUUACCUCAUUUCUUCAGGGCCGCUGUUACGGAGGACGAUGUAGGACUCGUGAUGGACAGUGUAGGGGCCUCUGGGGUUAUAAUUCAGCAGACAGGUUUUGUUAUGAGAAGCUGAACGCUGAGGGGACAGAGAAAGGAAACUGUGGUCCGGGUCCUGAGGGCCAGGGCUGGCUGCAGUGCAACAAGCCGGAUGUUUUAUGCGGCUUCCUGUUCUGUGCCAACGUCACCAUGAAGCCAAAGUUUGGAGACCUGCAGGGGGAGGUGACCAGCUUCACCCUCUACCACCAGAACAAGUACUUGGACUGCAGAGCAGGCCAUGCUCUGCUGGAGGACGGCUCCGACCUGGGCUAUGUGGAGGACGGCGCCCCCUGCGGGCCCAACAUGAUGUGUCUGGAGCGACGCUGCCUCCCUGUGGCCACGUUCAACCUCAGCACCUGCUCGGGAUCUACCUUUGGGCGCAUCUGCUCCGACCACGGGACCUGCAGUAAUGAAGUGAAGUGUAUCUGUGACAGGGACUACACAGGCAAGGACUGCAGUGUCUUCGACCCCAUCCCAGAGCCAACCGUCCCAACAGGCCCAGAGAAGAAAGUGGUGUUAUUUUGUUUCUGCCCCUCCUCUUCCGCACUCUUCCUCCCUACUCCUUCCUCUGUGCAGGUCCCAGUGGCACCAAUAUCAUAAUAGGGUCCAUCGCAGGGGCUAUUCUCCUGGCAGCUAUAGUCCUAGGGGGGACAGGAUGGGGAUUUAAGAACAUCCGGAGAGGAAGAUCUGGCGGUGGAUAAGAUGUGUCUGUCUCUCUGUCUGUCUGUCCUGUCUACUCCUGUCUUCCUCCUCGCACUGUGUCCUUUCCACAUCAGAGAAGAGGGAAACAAAAAAAAAGUCUUCCACAUCUCAAAUUUCUCCAAACCUCUACUGAAUACCGUCUCCUCCUAUCGUCCGUCCUCCAUCCGGGCCCUGCGGAGCUCCAUUCACCAAACCAGCCAAGUCAGACUUGUUGUGGCUGUUUCCAUCGUCGCCACCGAGGACUGUGUGUGGGCCCGAGCAGGGGGUCCGUCCCCUGAGAGACACCGGGGUCUUCCUCCAGUCUGGUGGAGUGUGAUUCGGUGUCUGUGCACCUCCUUUUGAACAGUCUGGUGAAGAUCAUAUCGACGUCCAAUUCUAUAUCAGACUUGUCUUGCCUGCCUGUCUGGAUACAAAUUAAUCUGGCCACCAACUGAGUCCACAGCUAAAUGUUGGACAGACUGGACUUCUAAUAGACUAAACUAAUGUAAAAGGAGCUGAAUGCUUUCUUUUGAAAAUGACCCAAGGCACAGUUCCUCAAAGGACAGGCCCUCAAAGUGGACAAUAGUCUGUUUCAAUCCACAAGUCUGGCACCAUGAAUUUGAAAAGAAAACACUGGACUGAUGUGGAAGGGCUCAACCGAAGGCUCAAAAACCAGUCAGUCACUAGCCAGAUCCCAGACUGAUAACCGAGUUUAUGUUCGUCGUUAUUUGUUCUUUAAACUUGAGGCAUCUUACCUGCCCCCUUACACAAGUGUUCAGGUACAAAAAGGGAAGCAAGGUGUCAUGGUUUUGGGAUCAUUUUUAAAAACAACUGAACUUCAGCAGAGACCGUAACUUAGUGCUUUCCAGCCGACAUACAUUCCACUUUAUCUGUCUGUGUGCUCACCACUUUCUGACCCAAAGUGUGUACCCUCUCCCAGGUCGGAUCUGUAUGUCUGUUCACAGAUGAAUGUACGCAUGUAAGAGAUUUUUUUUUAAAGAAAGUAAGAAUGUAUGUGUGUUUACAUUAGUGCUAGGGGCCAUUUGUGUCCAUGUACACUUUAACACUCCUCCUAUCACAGUAGAUUGGCAGGUUUUGAACCUUAGAAUAUCAUCUCUUUCUACAAACGGCAGCCAUGGAACCAUAAAGGCAGCACAUUAAUACAGAAUGAAACUGUUUUUAUUUAAUGUAUCUACAGAAAAGGAGCACUAGCCAACUGUAUGCACACUUAUUUGUAAAUAUGUGCAAGAAUGACUGAAUGCACUGUAUGAAGAUGUAUUUAAAAGCUAUGUUAAAAUAAUGAGUUGUAUUCUGACAAGACAUCUGCAGAUCUCUCCAAUAUUCAACACUGUCCAUGAAUCUCUCACUCUUAUCAUUCCAGCUGUCCCUUAGAUGUCCAGGAUAUUUUGUACGUUUGUUGAUAGCCCUGAGCCCUGGGUGAACAGCUCCACCAAGAGGCUUUGUAAUGAUGCCGCUGUAAAUGAGAUUAAAGAGAUCUAGUGGGGGGGUCCAGGAGGCAGCUCGUCUGAAACUGUACGUAGGUCAGUUUGGUUCAUUUGAGCUUUGCACUAUGGCAGCUGCACUAUUGUAAUUAGAAAAUGUACAGCGGUAUGAAAUACAAUCCGUUUGAUUUAAAAGGUAAAUUAAAAAAAGAGAAUAAGAUCAAUCGUAUCCCAUAUUUUUAGACACAAUCUUUUCGAAUUGAGACAAAAAGAGAGAAAUUAACUAAAAGAUUGUAGUUGAUUUGACAAUGAAGGAAAAUAAAAUACUGAAACAUUUAAAACACACCUUCAUCUCUGGCUACCUUGCUUUUUUUUUGGUAUUUAUAGUUCAUGAUUUUAAUAAAUGAUUAUACUUUUUCAA
Molecule: RNA transcript, 4781 nt
Organism: Gymnodraco acuticeps
Lineage: Eukaryota; Metazoa; Chordata; Actinopteri; Perciformes; Bathydraconidae
Gene name: disintegrin and metalloproteinase domain-containing protein 11-like
Exons: 25
Source: RefSeq, a predicted model, not a curated record